Molecule: ribosomal RNA, 574 nt
Filed under: uncultured archaeon
Lineage: Archaea
Description: bacterial SSU rRNA
Rfam family: Archaeal small subunit ribosomal RNA
Source: RNAcentral
CUGCGGCCGAUUAGGUAGUUGGCGGUGUAAGGGACCACCAAGCCUGUGAUCGGUACGGGUGUUGAGAGACAUAGCCCGGAGAUGGGGGCUGAGACACGGCCCCAGGCCCUACGGGGCGCAGCAGGCGCGAAAACUCCGCAAUGCGCGAAAGCGUGACGGGGUCAACCCGAGUGUCGCCUGCUGAAGGCGACUUUUCCUCGGUCUAAAUAGCCGUGGGUAAUAAAGGGAGGGCAAGACUGGUGUCAGCCGCCGCGGUAAUACCAGCUCCCUAAGUGGUGAGGACGAUUAUUGGGCCUAAAGCGUCCGUAGCCGGCUUUACAAGUUCUUCGUUAAAUCCGGCGAUCCAGUCGUCGGUUCGCGGGGAAUACUGUUAAGCUAGGAGGCGGGAGAGGCCGUCAGUACUUUCGGGGUAGGGGUGAAAUCCUAUAAUCCCGGAAGGACUACCAGUGGCGAAGGCGGACGGCCAGAACGCGCUCGACGGUGAGGGACGAAAGCUGGGGGAGCGAACCGGAUUAGAUACCCGGGUAGUCCCAGCUGUAAACGAUGCGGGCUAAGUGUCGGAGUGGCUACAGUG